UGAAGACCACAGAAACCGUCCACGUCACAAGGAGGAGCUGAAGGGGGAUGAGGCGCCGGAGAGGAGAAGCCACGGCCCUGCUUCCUCCCCGAGCCAGCCAUGUGCCUCGGCAGCCUGUGCUGUGUGGCUCUUUUACUCUGGGGAGCAGGCUCCAUGGACACCGAGGUCACCCAGAGUCCAAGUCAGCUGAUCAAAGGAAAAGACGAGAAAGCAAAGAUGGAUUGUGUUCCCAAAGAAGGACAUGCUUACGUUUACUGGUAUCGCAAGAAGCUGGAAGAAGCAUUUGAGUUUUUGGUUUACUUUCAGAAUGAAGACCCUAUGGAAGAAACAGCUGUGUUCAAACAGCGAUUUUCAGCUGAGUGCCCCAAAAACUCACCCUGCAGCCUGGAAAUCAAGUCCACCGAGGCAGCGGACUCAGCUUUGUAUUUCUGUGCCAGCAGCCAGUCCACAGUGCAGCACGUCAGCUCUUCCUAGAACACAAACUCACCGUGAACCCAGCUCAGGAAAUCAGUGGUGUCGCAGGAGGGUAGGAACUAACAGAAACCCACCUUGAAAGAGCAUGAACCAGAUGGAAAAAAUCUGUAAAUGAGCAACACUGCAUGAGAAGAAGGGGAGGUGGAAAACAGCUAGUGGGAACACAAACCCAAGGAUGGGGCAGGAAGCUGUAAGGGGUCUCGGAUUCCCCUGGUUGCAGGGUAUCUGGCAAAGGAGACACAGGAUGUGACUCAAUGGGUUCCUAACAAUCUUUAUUAAAACAUGUAGUUCUGUGCUUUUCAUCUUGCAAAACAGUGCCUGUAGGAAUAAGGAAAAUCAGCAGGGGUACCCUGAUCUCCUGGCUCUGCACAUUCAUUGAUCCAGAGACUCCUCAGGGUUCAUCACUGCUUCUCUCAGCUGUCCUUGCCAGAGAAACUGAACCAGAAACUCAGCAACUCCCUACGUCCUGAAAACUACAAUCACACAAGUUUUAAAAGCAAUUUGAGGUAUAACAUAGUCACGAUAAAAUAUACCCAUUUCAAGUAUAUAUUGUAAUAUGUUUGAUAAAUUUUUAGACCCAUGUAACCUACUUGAUAGGGCUUCCCUGGUAGCUUAACAGUAAAGAAUCUGCCUGCAAUGAGGGAGACCUGGGUUCAAUUCCUGGGUCGGGAACAUCCCCCAAAGAAGGAAAUGGCAACCCACUCCAGUAUUCUUGCCUGGAGAAUCCCAUGGACAGAGGAGUCUAGCAGACUACAGUCCACAGGGUUGCAAAUAGUUGGACACGACUGAGCUAUUCACACACACACAGACGCACACACACACAGAGGAGACCUACCUGGUGUGCUUCACUGGUGACUCAAUGGUGAAGAAUACGCCUGCCAAAGCAGAAGACAAGGGUUUGAUCCCUGGGUGGGGAAAACCCUCUAGAGGAGGAAGCAGCAACCCACUCUAGUAUUCUUACCUGGGAAAUCCCAUGGACAGAGGAGCCUGGCAUGCUACAGUCCAUGGGGUCGCCAAAGAGUUGGAUACUCUUAGUUGGACAUGACUUGGAGAUUAAACAGCAAUAACAAGCAUGAUACUCAAGGUACAGAAUAUUUCCCCCUUCCUAAAUGUCCCCACAUGCUGCUUUAUUGAGGUCUUUACAUUCUCUCUGUAUUGCUGCAUUGCUCUGUAUUUUUUCAUCCAACACAUCUUACAUAUAGUUUGUUGAUU
Molecule: non-coding RNA, 1686 nt
Organism: Dama dama (fallow deer)
Lineage: Eukaryota; Metazoa; Chordata; Mammalia; Artiodactyla; Cervidae
Source: the annotation of a RefSeq genome assembly